UACAGAGGUCUCAAGCGUUGUUCGGAUUCAUUGGGCGUAAAGAGCUCGUAGGCGGUUCGGCAAGUCGGGUGUGAAACCCCCAGGCUCAACCUGGGGACGCCACCCGAUACUGCUGUGACUUGAGUCCGGUAGGGGAGCGUGGAAUUCCUGGUGUAGCGGUGAAAUGCGCAGAUAUCAGGAGGAACACCAGCGGCGAAGGCGGCGCUCUGGGCCGGAACUGACGCUGAGGAGCGAAAGCGUGGGUAGCAAACAGG
This 254-nucleotide ribosomal RNA is filed under the name uncultured bacterium. Its description in RNAcentral is "partial 16S ribosomal RNA". It matches the Rfam family "Bacterial small subunit ribosomal RNA", at positions 524 to 776 of the family's 1533-position model. The record is from RNAcentral.